UUAUCCAGGCAAAUCCGGAUAAUCAAGGCUGAGGUGUGAUGACGAGGCACUACGGUGCUGAAGUAACAAAUGCCCUGCUUCCAGGAAAAGCCUCUAAGCAUCAGGUAACAUCAAAUCGUACCCCAAACCGACACAGGUGGUCAGGUAGAGAAUACCAAGGCGCUUGAGAGAACUCGGGUGAAGGAACUAGGCAAAAUGGUGCCGUAACUUCGGGAGAAGGCAC
Molecule: ribosomal RNA, 223 nt
Filed under: Klebsiella pneumoniae
Lineage: Bacteria; Pseudomonadati; Pseudomonadota; Gammaproteobacteria; Enterobacterales; Enterobacteriaceae
Description: partial 23S ribosomal RNA
Rfam family: Bacterial large subunit ribosomal RNA
Source: RNAcentral